RNAcentral lists this ribosomal RNA (492 nucleotides) under uncultured bacterium. Its description in RNAcentral is "partial 16S ribosomal RNA". It matches the Rfam family "Bacterial small subunit ribosomal RNA", at positions 29 to 507 of the family's 1533-position model. The record is from RNAcentral.
AGUGAACGCUGGCGGUAGGCCUAACACAUGCAAGUCGAACGGCAGCACAGUAAGAGCUUGCUCUUACGGGUGGCGAGUGGCGGACGGGUGAGGAAUACAUCGGAAUCUACUUUUUCGUGGGGGAUAACGUAGGGAAACUUACGCUAAUACCGCAUACGACCUACGGGUGAAAGCAGGGGAUCUUCGGACCUUGCGCGAUUGAAUGAGCCGAUGUCGGAUUAGCUAGUUGGCGGGGUAAAGGCCCACCAAGGCGACGAUCCGUAGCUGGUCUGAGAGGAUGAUCCGCCACACUUGAACUUGGACCAGGUCCCGACUCCUACGGGAGGCAGCAGUUGGGAAUAUUGGACAAUGGGCGCAAGCCUGAUCCAGCCAUUCCGCGUGGGUGAAAGAGGCCUUCGGGUUGUAAAACCCUUUUGUUGGGAAAGAAAAGCAGCAGGUUAAUACCCCGCUGUUCUGACGGUACCCAAAGAAUAAGCACCGGCUAACUUCGUG